GAGGGGGGGAAGUGAAAGAGGACACUGUGAUAUUAAAGCAGAUAUCUUGAUUGACAGAAAUAAGGAAAGCAAAUAGAGAGAAUGUGAAUGAGAAACUGAGAAGCUAGGAGAGUAACUGCUAGUCAAUUUCAGAGAGAAAGUGAAGAAGCGAGAUAGAGAAAGAGUACAUAAGAAGUCCAUUCAUCUAAUGUGGAUGAGAAUCUUAUAUGAUAUUUGAAUCGGUUCUCAUGGAAGGCAGAAUAGUACUAAUAGGUGUAGUAUGUUAUGAUUAUGGAGGGUGCUCCGAUUGUGGCCAAAGCUAUUAAGAUUCUGGUGGUUUCCAUGGGUAGAGUAAGGCCUGAUUUUCUCUGUCUAUCCGGCUGAACUUAGAAUUACUUAUUUUUGUAGACAACUUCCAUUAAGCCAUGUUAGUAGUCUCAUUCUGUUGUGUACAUCAUGCCAAUUUCUUUGGAUGGUUCUCAAGUGAUGUACAUACUACUGUAGUUUUCGGGAUCAGAUAUUGGCUUCGUCCCAUCUUAAGAACUUUGUUGCAUGGUAACCUCCAGGAAUUCGGUGAUAGAAUUGGGAAAAUUAUGUCCCCAAACAGUUCCUUGGAGGAAAAAUAUCUCUGAUAUGGAUUGUGAGGGCAAAUUUCUAGAGGACGGAAGGAGUGCUGAGAGAGCCCAAGUGUUCGAUAAAUUAAGAACUAACAACAAUGCAUCACAGUCUCCAUUAUUUGCAAGGAAUCCAAUAAAGUUGGGGAAUGUGCUAUUUGCUUUACUUUCAGGGACAGAGUCCCUGUCUCAUACCGGACAAGGACGACUUGCAGAGGAUCUGAGUAUGGAACAUCAGAUGAAUUUGGAAGAAGCCUAACAUCGCCUGCCCUGAUGUCAUCAGUUGAAGCUCUCUUGCCUGAGGAUACCUGAAGUGAAAGGUAAGAAACACUUGACUUUCCAAAGGAACUCAAAGUGCUCAGGUGUUGAUGGAGCUCGCAGGAGUUCCCAACCUUGAAUCAUGAUCCUUUGGGACCUGGUUCAGGCUCACUGCCUGUGGCUACUCCUGUUAUUGGAGAAUAGGCCCAUUGGUUCGUGGUAAAGGAUGUGAAUGUCUUGAAUUCUGUUCGCUCACCAAACCUGAUCUAUUUUGAGUAUACUAAGUGUCAUGGCAGGGGGUACACCAGCGUGCUUGGAUCGAUGAUGAUUUCCAAUAAAACAUUCCUUGGAAAGCUGAACAAAAUGAGUGAAAACUCAAUACCGCCACUAUCAUCGUGACUGAGGUCCAGCACCUGGGAUCACAAAUGUCACUGAGGGACUCACAUGGCCUCCAUUCAUCUUGCGAGACUUGGAUCCAGUUGAGAGCCUUCAGAAUGUUCUUUGCUUGCCUAAAUCACCAGAAAUCAUGGCCUAAAUCAAGGCUUCACCUUUUGCUCUAAUGAUAACAUGCAUUCCAGUUGAGGAGAUCAUUGUCAUUAUCUUGUAAGUUAGCCCUACCAACUCCAUCAACAAUAAUGUAUAGUAGGUUGUGAGGCAAAUGUAAGUUUAGCCGGGGCAGCAUAGUGCAACACUGUACACUGGAAUGUCAGGAAAUGUGUUUCUGUCCCUGUCUGAAGCCUUCGCAUGAAUGAUAACCCUUCUGUUUCAUAAAACAGAGAUACAUAACGGGAAGGUUACAGGCGACAUGUGGAAUGAGGCAGUAGCAAUUCUCAGGAACUAUGGGAAUGUGGACUCUUCCUGUGUGAAAACAAUGCUCUAUUUUCUUGAAAGACUGAUUGUGGCCAUGGCAAUUAGGUUGGAAAGAGAGCCUUGGAAUUUAAAAGGUUGGCAUGUAGCCUUCUUGUCGGUAGAUUCUAGAAGGACAUGCUUUCAAAUGUCCCAGGAUUCAUACCACCUUCAUGGAUGUAUGGAAAACACCCAUUUUAUCCUAGUUUCUAUUUUUAUUGUUGGGACAUUUUUUGUGAGUCUAUCCGGGUAGUUUGCCAGCACUUGUUAUGGAUUGACUGUACCAAAAUGGUCUGGACAUACAUCUCCACCUAUUCUAGGAUCUAAGAAUGUGAUCAUGCAAGUUUGUUUCUUACACACACUCCUUCUAGGAAUUUUAUAUUUUGGUAUGGCCGUAGAAGAUAGGCAUGGAUUGUCUGCGGGAAUAUCUUUCCUUAUGGUCUUGAUGUGGCCUUGCUGAAGAUUAACUUGCAUUUUGGCUAUGUGUUUUGGGGCUGAUGGUAGUCCUGUUAUCUUAGACAUUGUUCUUUUCUCCAAGCAAAUAUCAACAAGUAAUAGUGUUUCCCUUUGAUUAUGAAAGUGAGCUGUAUGCUUAGGAUCCUGCUGUUGAUAAUAACAUAUAUCUCAGUGAAUACAGUUUAUGCUUGUGUUUGGUGACCUGAGAGGGUUGGAACAGACACUUUCACUGUGGUGAUCAAUGUCAGAUACCACAGCAAUAGCACUCACAGGAAUUUAGUACCAGUCAAAACCUGAAUAGGAGAUAUAUGAGCAUGGACAGAGACAGAGAGAAAGAACAAUUGUUGAAGAGGCUAAGCAUGUGUGAGACAGAGGAAGACAGUAAGAGACAGAAAGAGAGAGGGGGGGAGAGAGGGGGGGAAGUGAAAGAGUACACUGUGAUAUUAAAGCAGAUAUCUUGAUUGACAGAAAUAAGGAAACCAAAUAGAGAGACUGUGAAUGAGUAACUGAGAAGCUAGGAGAGUCACUGCUAGUCAAUUUCAGAGAGAAAGUGAAGAUGCGAGAUAGAGAAAGAGUACAUAAGAAGUCCAUUCAUCUAAUGUGGAUGAGAAUCUUAUAUGAUAUUUGAAUCGGUUCUCAUGGAAGGCAGAGUAGGACUAAUAGGUGUAGUAUGUUAUGAUUAUGGAGGGUGCUCCGAUUGUGGCCAAAGCUAUUAAGAUUCUGGUGGUUUCCAUGAGAAGAGUAAGGCCUUAUUUUCUCUGUCUAUCCGGCUGAACUGAGAAUUACUUAUUUUUGUAGACAACUUCCAUUAAGCCAUGUUAGUAGUCUCAUUCUGUUGUGUACAUCAUGCCAAUUUCUUUGGAUGGUUCUCAAGUGAUGUACAUACUACUGUAGUUUUCGGGAUCAGAUAUUGGCUUCGUCCCAUCUUAAGAACUUUGUUGCAUGGUAACCUCCAGGAAUUCGGGGAUAGAAUUGGGAAAAUUAUGUCCCCAAACAGUUCCUUGGAGGAAAAAUAUCUCUGAUAUGGAUUGUGAGGGCAAAUUUCUAGAGGACGAAAGGAGUGCUGAGAGAGCCCAAGUGUUCGAUAAAUUAAGAACUAACAACAAUGCAUCACAGUCUCCAUGAUUUGCAAGGAAUCCAAUAAAGUGGGGGUAUGUGCUAUUUGCUUUACUUUCAGGGACAGAGUCCCUGUCUCAUACCGGACAAGGACGGCUUGCAGAGGAACUGAGUAUGGAACAUCAGAUGAAGUUGGAAGAAGCCUAACAUCGCCUGCCCUGAUGUCAUCAGUUGAAGCUCUCUUGCCUGAGAAUACCUGAAGUGAAAGGGACAGAGUCCCUGUCUCAUACCGGACAAGGACGGCUUGCAGAGGAACUGAGUAUGGAACAUCAGAUGAAGUUGGAAGAAGCCUAACAUCGCCUGCCCUGAUGUCAUCAGUUGAAGCUCUCUUGCCUGAGAAUACCUGAAGUGAAAGGGACAGAGUCCCUGUCUCAUACCGGACAAGGACGGCUUGCAGAGGAACUGAGUAGGAACAUCAGAUGAAGUUGGAAGAAGCCUAACAUCGCCUGCCCUGAUGUCAUCAGUUGAAGCUCUCUUGCCUGAGGAUACCUGAAGUGAAAGGUAAGAAACACUUGACUUUCCAAAGGAACUCAAAAUGCUCAGGUGUUGAUGGAGCUCGCAGGAGUUCCCAACCUUGAAUCAUGAUCCUUUGGGACCUGGUUCAGGCUCACUGCUUGUGGCUACUCCUGUUAUUGGAGAAUAGGCCCAUUGUUUCGUGGUAAAGGAUGUGAAUGUCUUGAAUUCUGUUCGCUCACCAAACCUGAUCUAUUUUGAGUAUACUAAGUGUCAUGGCAGGGGGUACACCAGCGUGCUUGGAUCGAUGAUGAUUUCCAAUAAAACAUUCCUUGGAAAGCUGAACAAAAUGAGUGAAAACUCAAUACCGCCACUAUCAUCGUGACUGAGGUCCAGCACCUGGGAUCACAAAUGUCACUGAGGGACUCACAUGGCCUCCAUUCAUCUUGCGAGACUUGGAUCCAGUUGAGAGCCUUCAGAAUGUUCUUUGCUUGCCUAAAUCACCAGAAAUCAUGGCCUAAAUCAAGGCUUCACCUUUUGAUCUAAUGAUAACAUGCAUUCCAGUUGAGGAGAUCAUUGUCAUUAUCUUGUAAGUUAGCCCUACCAACUCCAUCAACAAUAAUGUAUAGUAGGUUGUGAGGCAAAUGUAAGUUUAGCCGGGGCAGCAUAGUGCAACACUGUACACUGGAAUGUCAGGAAAUGUGUUUCUGUCCCUGUCUGAAGCCUUCGCAUGAAUGAUAACCCUUCUGUUUCAUAAAACAGAGAUACAUAACGGGAAGAUUACAGGCGACAUGUGGAAUGAGGCAGUAGCAAUUCUCAGGAACUAUGGGAAUGUGGACUCUUCCUGUGUGAAAACAAAUCUCUGUUUUCUUGAAAGACUGAUUGUGGCCAUGGCAAUUAGGUUGGAAAUAGAGCCUUGGAAUUUAAAAGGUUGACAUGUAGCCUUCUUGUCGGUGGAUUCUAGAAGUGCAUGCUUUCAAAUGUCCCAGGAUUCAUACCACCUUCAUGGAUGUAUGGAGAACACCCAUUUUAAUCCUAGUUUCUAUGCUUAUUGUUGGGACAUUUUUUGUCAGACUAUCCGGGUAGUUUGCCGGCAGUUCUUAUGGAUUGACUGUACCAAAAUGGUCUGGACAUACAUUCUCCUCCUCUUCUAGGAUCUAAGAAUGUGACCAUGCAAGUUUGUUUCUUACACACACUCCUUCUAGGAAUUUUAUAUUUUGGUAUGGCCGUAGAAGACAGGCAUGGAGUGUCUGUGGGAUUAUCAUUCGUUAUGGUUUUGAUGUGGCCUUAUGAAAGUUAACUUGGCAUUUUGGCUAUGUGUUUUGGGGCUGAUGGUAGUCCUGUUAUCUUAGACAAUGUUCUUUUUUUCCAAGCAAAUAUCAACAAGAAAUUGUGUUUCCAUUUGAUUAUGAAAGUGAGCUGUAUGCUUAGGAUCAUGCUGUUGAUAAUAACAUAUAUCUCAGUGACUACAUGUUAUGCUUGUGUUUGGUGACCUGAGAGGGUUUGAACAGAUUCUUUAUCUGUGGUGAUCAAUGUCAGAUACCACAGCAAUGGCACUCACAGGAAUUAGUACCAGUCAAAACCUGAAUAGGAGAUAUAUGAGCAUGGACAGAAAGAGAGAAAAAACAAUUGUUGAAGAGGCUAAGCAUGUGUGAGACAGAGGAAGACAGUGAGAGACAGAAAGAGAGAGAGGGGGGGACAGAGGGGGGUGGUAUGGAAAAGAGGACACUGUGAUAUUAAAGCAGAUAUCUUGAUUGACAGAAAUAAGGAAACCAAAUAGAGAGAAUGUGAGUGAGAAACUGAGAAGCUGGGAGAGUCACUGCAAGUCAAUUUCAGAGAGAAGUGAAGAAGCGAGAUAGAGAAAGAGUACAUAAGAAGUCCAUUCAUCUAAUGUGGAUGAGAAUCUUAUAUGAUAUUUGAAUCGGUUCUCAUCGAACUCAGAGUAGUACUAAUAGGUGUAGUAUGUUAUGAUUAUGGAGGGUGCUCCGAUUGUGGCCAAAGCUAUUAAGAUUCUGGUGGUUUCCAUGGGAAGAGUAAGGCCUGAUUUUCUCUGUCAUAUCCAGCUGAACUGAGAUUUACUUAUGUUUGUAGACAACUCCCAUUAAGCCAUGUUAGUGGUCUCAUUCUGUUGUGUACCUCGUGCCAUUUUCUUUGGAUGGUUCUCAAGUGAUGUACAUACUAUUGUAGUUUUCGGGAUCAGAUAUUGGCUUCGUCCCAUCUUAAGAACUUUGUUGCAUGGUAACCUCCAGGAAUUCGGUGAUAGAAUUGGGAAAAUUAUGUCCCCAAAGAGUUCCUUGGAGGAAAAAUAUCUCUGAUAUGGAUUGUGAGGGCAAAUUGCUAGAGGACGGAAGGAGUGCUGAGAGAGCCCAUGUGUUCCAUAAAUUAAGAACUAACAACAAUGCAUCACAGUCUCCAUGAUUUGCAAGGAAUCCAAUAAAGUGGGGGAAUGUGCUAUUUGCUUUACUUUCAGGGACAGAGUCCCUGUCUCAUACCGGACAAGGACGGCUUGCAGAGGAACUGAGUAGGAACAUCAGAUGAAGUUGGAAGAAGCCUAACAUCGCCUGCCCUGAUGUCAUCAGUUGAAGUCUCUUGCCUGAGGAUACCUGAAUUGAAAGGGACAGAGUCCCUGUCUCAUACCGGACAAGGACAGCUUGCAGAGGAACUGAGUAUGGAACAUCAGAUGAAGUUGGAAGAUGCCUUACAUCGCCUGCCCUGAUGUCAUCAGUUGUAGCUCUCUUGCCUGAGGAUACCUGAAUUGAAAGGGACAGAGUCCCUGUCUCAUACCGGACAAGGACAGCUUGCAGAGGAACUGAGUAUGGAACAUCAGAUGAAGUUGGAAGAUGCCUUACAUCGCCUGCCCUGAUGUCAUCAGUUGUAGCUCUCUUGCCUGAGGAUACCUGAACUGAAAGGGACAGAGUCCCUGUCUCAUACCGGACAAGGACGGCUUGCAGAGGAACUGAGUAUGGAACAUCAGAUGAAGUUUGAAGAAGCCUAAAAUCGCCUGCCCUGAUGUCAUCAGUUGAAGCUCUCUUGCCUGAGGAUACCUGAAGUGAAAGGUAAGAAACACUUGAAUUUCCAAAGGAACUCAAAGUGCUCAGGUGUUGAUGGAGCUCGAAGGAGUUCCCAACCUUUUAUCAUGAUCCUUUGGGACCUGGUCCAGGCUCACUGCCUGUGGCUACUCCUGUGAUUGGAGAAUAGGCCCAUUGGUUCGUGGUAAAGGAUGUGAAUGUCUUGAAUUCUGUUCGCUCACCAAACCUGAUCUAUUUUGAGUAUACUAAGUGUCAUGGCAGGGGGUACACCAGCGUGCUUGGAUCGAUGAUGAUUUCCAAUAAAACAUUCCUUGGAAAGCUGAACAAAAUGAGUGAAAACUCAAUACCGCCACUAUCAUCGUGACUGAGGUCCAGCACCUGGGAUCACAAAUGUCACUGAGGGACUCACAUGGCCUCCAUUCAUCUUGCGAGACUUGGAUCCAGUGAGAGAGCCUUCAGAAUGUUCUUUGCUUGCCUAAAUCACCAGAAAUCAUGGCCUAAAUCCAGGCUUCACCUUUUGCUCUAAUGAUAACAUGCUUUCCGGUUGAGGAGAUCCUUGUCAGUAUCUUGGAAGUUAGCCCUACCAACUCCAUCAGCAAUAAUGUAUAGUAGGUUGUGAGGCAAAUGUAAGUUUAGCGGGGGCAGCAGAGUUCAACAAUGUACACUGGAAUGUCAGGAAAUGUGUUUCUGUCCCUGUCUGAAGCCUUCGCAUGAAUCAUAACCCUUCUGUUUCAUAAAACAGAGAUACAUAACGGGAAGGUUUCAGGCGACAUGUGGAAUGAGGCAGUAGCAAUUCUCAGGAACUAUGGGAAUGUGGACUCUUCCUGUGUGAAAACAAAGCUCUGUUUUCUUGAAAGACUGAUUGUGGCCAUGGCAAUUAGGUUGGAAAGAGAGCCUUGGAAUUUAAAAGGUUGGCAUGUAGCCUUCUUGUUGGUUGACUCCAGAAGUGCAUGCUUUCAAAUGAACAAAGAUUCACACCACCUUCAUGGUUGUAUGGAGAACACCCAUUUUAAUCCUAGUUUCUAUGUUUAUUGUUGGGACAUUUUUUGUCAGUCUAUCCGGGUAGUUUGCCAGCAGUUCUUAUGGAUUGACUGUACCAAAAUGGUCUGGACAUACAUCUCCUCCUCUUCUAGGAUAUAAGAAUGUGAGCAUGCAAGUUUGUUUCUUACACACACUCCUUCUAGGAAUUUUAUAUUUUGGUAUGGCCGUAGAAGAUAGGCAUGGAGUGUCUGCGGGAUUAUCUUUCCUUUUGGUUUUGAUGUGGCCUUGCUGAUGGUUAACUUGGCAUUUUGGCUAUGUGUUUUGGGGCUGAUGGUAGUCCUGUUAUCUUAGACUUUGUUCUUUUCUCCAAGCAAAUAUCAAUAAGAAAUUGUGUUUCCAUUUGAUUAUGAAAGUGAGCUGUAUGCUUAGGAUCAUGCUGUUGAUAAUAACAUAUGUCUCGGUGACUACAGGUUAUGCUUGUGUUUGGUGACUUGAGAGGGUUUGAACAGACACCUUCUCUGUGGUGAUCAAUGUCAGAUACCACAGCAAUAGCACUCACAGGAAUUUCGUACCAGUCAAAACCUGAAUAGGAGAUAUAUGAGCAUGGACAGAGAAAGAGAGAAAGAACAAUUGUUGAAGAGGCUAAGCAUGUGUGAGACAGAGGAAGACAGUGAGAGACAGUAAGAGAGAGAGAGAGGGGGUGGACAGAGGGGGGGUGAAGUGGAAAAGAGGACACUGUGAUAUUAAAGCAGAUAUCUUGAUUGACAGAAAUAAGGAAACCAAAUAGAGAGAAUUUGAGUGAGAAACUGAGAAGCUAGGAGAGUCACUGCAAGUCAAUUUCAGAGAGAAAGUGAAGAAGCGAAAUAGAGAAAGAGUACAUAAGAAGUCCAUUCAUCUAAUGUGGAUGAGAAUCUUAUAUGAUAUUUGAAUCGGUUCUCAUCGAAGGCAGAGUAGGAGUAAUAGGUGUAGUAUUUUAUAAUUAUGGAGGGUGCUCCGAUUGUGGCCAAAGCAUUUAAGAUUCCGGUGGUUUCUCUGGAAAUAGUAAGGCCUGAUUUUCUCUGUCAUAUCCGGCUGAACUGAGAUUUAAUUAUUUUUGUAGACAACUUCCAUUAAGCCAUGUUAGUGGUCUCAUUCUGUUGUGUACCUCGUGCCAAUUUCUUUGGUUGGUUCUCAAGUGAUGUACAUACUACUGUAGUUUUCGGGAUCAGAUAUUGGCUUCGUCCCAUCUUAAGAACUUUGUUGCAUGGUAACCUCCAGGAAUUCGGUGAUAGAAUUGGAAAAAUUAUGUCCCCAAAGAGUUCCUUGGAGGAAAAAUAUCUCUGAUAUGCAUUGUGAGUGCAAAUUUCUAGAGGACGGAAGAAGUGCUGAGAGAGCCCAUGUGUUCGAUAAAUUAAGAACUAACAACAAUGCAUCACAGUCUCCAUGAUUUGCAAGGAAUCCAAUAAAGUGGGGGAAUGUGCUAUUUGCUUUACUUUCAGGGACAGAGUCCCUGUCUCAUACCGGACAAGGACGGCUUGCAGAGGAACUGAGUAUGGAACAUCAGAUGAAGUUGGAAGAAGCCUAACAUCGCCUGCCCUGAUGUCAUCAGUUGAAGCUCUCUUGCCUGAGGAUACCUGAAGUGAAAGGGACAGUGUCCCGGUCUCAUACCGGACAAGGACGGCUUGCAGAGGAACUGAGUAUGGAACAUCAGAUGAAGUUGGAAGAAGCCUAACAUCGCCUGCCCUGAUGUCAUCAGUUGAAGCUCUCUUGCCUGAGGAUACCUGAAGUGAAAGGGACAGUGUCCCGGUCUCAUACCGGACAAGGACGGCUUGCAGAGGAACUGAGUAUGGAACAUCAGAUGAAGUUGGAAGAAGCCUAACAUCGCCUGCCCUGAUGUCAUCAGUUGAAGCUCUCUUGCCUGAGGAUACCUGAAGUGAAAGGGACAGUGUCCCGGUCUCAUACCGGACAAGGACGGCUUGCAGAGGAACUGAGUAUGGAACAUCAGAUGAAGUUGGAAGAAGCCUAACAUCGCCUGCCCUGAUGUCAUCAGUUGAAGCUCUCUUGCCUGAGGAUACCUGAAGUGAAAGGGACAGUGUCCCGGUCUCAUACCGGACAAGGACGGCUUGCAGAGGAACUGAGUAUGGAACAUCAGAUGAAGUUGGAAGAAGCCUAACAUCGCCUGCCCUGAUGUCAUCAGUUGAAGCUCUCUUGCCUGAGGAUACCUGAAGUGAAAGGUAAGAAACACUUGACUUUCCAAAGGAACUCAUAGUGCUCAGGUGUUGAUGGAGCUCGCAGGAGUUCCCAACCUUGAAUCAUGAUCCUUUUGACCUGGUCCAGGCUCACUGCCUGUGGCUACUCCUGUGAUUGGAGAAUAGGCCCAUUGGUUCGUGGUAAAGAUGUGAAUGUCUUGAAUUCUGUUCGCUCACCAAACCUGAUCUAUUUUGAGUAUACUAAGUGUCAUGGCAGGGGGUACACCAGCGUGCUUGGAUCGAUGAUGAUUUCCAAUAAAACAUUCCUUGGAAAGCUGAAGAAAAUGAGUGAAAACUCAAUACCGCCAAUAUCAUCGUGACUGCGGUCCAGCACCUGGGAUCACAAAUGUCACUGAGAGACUCAAAUAGCCUCCAUUCAUCUUGCGAGACUUGGAUCCAGUGAGAGAGCCUUCAGAAUGUUCUUUGCUUGCCUAAAUCACCAGAAAUCAUGGCCUAAAUCAAGGCUUCACCUUUUGCUCUAAUGAUAACAUGCUUUCCGGUUGAGGAGAUCAUUGUCAAUAUCUUGGAAGUUAGCCCUACCGACUCCAUCAGCAAUAAUGUAUAGAGGUUGUGAGGCAAAUGUAAGUUUAGCGGGGGCGGCAUAGUUCAACAAUGUACACUGGAAUGUCAGGAAAUGUGUUUCUGUCCGUGACUGAAGCCUUCGCAUGAAUGAUAACCCUUCUGUUUAAUAAAACAGAGAUACAUAACGGGAAGGUUACAGGCGACACGUGGAAUGAGGCAGUAGCAAUUCUCAGGAACUAUGGGAAUGUGGACUCUUCCUGUGUGAAAACAAAGCUCUGUUUUCUUGAAAGACUGAUUGUGGCCCUGGCAAUUAGGUUGGAAAGAGAGCCUUGGAAUUUAAAAGGUUGGCAUGUAGCCUUCUUGUCGGUGGAUUCUAGAAGUGCAUGCUUUCAAAUGUCCCAGGAUUCAUACCACCUUUUUGGAUGUAUGGAGAACGCCCAUUUUAAUCCUAGUUUCUAUGUUUAUUGUUGGGACAUGUUUUGUCAGUCUAUCCGUGUAGUUUGCCAGCAGUUCUUAUGGAUUGACUGUACCAAAAUGGUCUGGACAUACAUCUCCUCCUCUUCUAGGAUCUAAAAAUGUGAGCAUGCAAGUUUCUUUCUUACACACACUCCUUCUAGGAAUUUUAUAUUUUGGUAUGGCCGUAGAAGAUAGGCAUGGAGUGUCUGUGGGAUUAUCUUUUCUUAUGGUUUUGAUGGGGCCUCGCUGAAGGUUAACUUGGCAUUUUGGCUAUGUGUUUUGGGGCUGAUGGUAGUCCUGUUAUCUUAGACAUUGUUCUUUUCUCCAAGCAAAUAUCAACAAGAAAUUGUGUUUCCAUUUGAUUAUGAAAGUGAGCUGUAUGCUUAGGAUCAUGCUGUUGAUAAUAACAUAUAUCUCAGUGACUACAGGUUAUGCUUGUGUUUGGUGACCUGAGAGGGUUUGAACAGACACUUUCUGUGUGGUGAUCAAUGUCAUAUCCCACAGCAAUAGAACUCACAGGAAUUUCGUACCAGUCAAAACCUGAAUAGGAGAUAUAUGAGUAUGGGCAGAGAAAGAGAGAAAGAACAAGUGUUGAAGAGGCUAAGCAUGUGUGAGACAGAGGAAGACAGUGAGAGACAAUAAGAGAGAAAGGGGGGGGAGGAGAGAUGGGGGUUGAAGUGGAAAAGAGGACACUGUGAUAUUAAAGCAGAUAUCUUGAUUGACAGAAAUAAGGAAACCAAAUAGAGAGAAUGUGAGUGAGAAACUGAGAAGCUAGGAGAGUCACUGCUAGUCAAUUUCAGAGAGAAAGUGAUGAAGCGAGAUAGAGAAAGAGUACAUAAGAAGUCCAUUCAUCUAAUGUGGAUGAGAAUCUUAUAUGAUAUUUGAAUCGGUUCUCUUCGAAGGCAGAGUAGGACUAAUAGGUGUAGUAUGUUAUGAUUAUGGAGGGUGCUCCGAUUGUGGCCAAAGCAUUUAAGAUUCUGGUGGUUUCCCUGGGAAGAGUAAGUCCUGAUUUUCUCUGUCAUAUCCGGCUGAACUGAGAUUUACUUAUUUUAGUAGACAACUUCCAUUAAGCCUUGUUAGUGGUCUCAUUCUGUUGUGUACCUCGUUCCAAUUUCUUUGGAUGGUUCUCAAGUGAUGUACAUACUACUGUAGUUUUCGGGAUCAGAUAUUGGGUUCGUCCCAUCUUAAGAACUUUGUUGCAUGGUAACCUCCAGGAAUUCGGUGAUAGAAUUGGGAAACUUCUGUCCUCACACAGUUCCUUGGAGGAAAAAUAUCUCUGAUAUGGAUUGUGAGGGCAAAUUUCUAGAGGACGGAAGGAGUGCUGAGAGAGCCCAAGUGUUUGAUAAAUUAAGAACUAACAACAAUGCAUCACAAUCUCCAUGAUUUGCAAGGAAUCCAAUAAAGUGGGGGAAUGUGCUAUUUGCUUUAC
Rattus norvegicus (Norway rat) is the source of this 12367-nucleotide non-coding RNA. The record is from RefSeq and is a predicted model, not a curated record. NCBI's taxonomy places the organism in Eukaryota, Metazoa, Chordata, Mammalia, Rodentia, Muridae.